UAAAGAAGUGGUGAUCCUACUCUGCCUCUGCACAGAGAAAGACAUUACUGUAUACUCUGCCUCAGUCAUGUAUCAAUCAGUAAGUGGAAUUCUCUCUCCCAUCCCUCUGGGAAGUGAGCAAAGGACUAUGUGGUGCUCCACAACAUGCAGGGUUAAACCACAACGGAACUUUCUGUGGAAAAAAAACUGAAUCAGAAGAAAACAUUGUGAUAUGCUAUUGCUUGGCUUCAUAAAGAAAUAAUCCUGAAUAACUUCUCAAAGGAACUGCAAAACAUGUACUUGAUUUUUAUGAAGUGUUACCCACAAUUUAUUUUCAUUCUUUAGUAA
This is a long non-coding RNA of Numida meleagris (helmeted guineafowl), 327 nucleotides long. RefSeq lists it as uncharacterized. Lineage: Eukaryota; Metazoa; Chordata; Aves; Galliformes; Numididae. The record is from RefSeq and is a predicted model, not a curated record. The transcript is spliced from 3 exons.